GGGGGCAAGCGUUGUUCGGAAUUACUGGGCGUAAAGGGCGCGUAGGCGGCCUUCUAAGUCAGACGUGAAAUCCCCGGGCUCAACCCGGGAACUGCGUCUGAGACUGGAAGGCUCGAAUCCGGGAGAGGGAUGUGGAAUUCCAGGUGUAGCGGUGAAAUGCGUAGAUAUCUGGAGGAACACCGGUGGCGAAGGCGGCAUCCUGGACCGGUAUUGACGCUGAGGCGCGAAAGCCAGGGGAGCAAACGGG
Molecule: ribosomal RNA, 247 nt
Filed under: uncultured bacterium
Lineage: Bacteria
Description: partial 16S ribosomal RNA
Rfam family: Bacterial small subunit ribosomal RNA
Source: RNAcentral